Molecule: non-coding RNA, 795 nt
Organism: Choloepus didactylus (southern two-toed sloth)
Lineage: Eukaryota; Metazoa; Chordata; Mammalia; Pilosa; Megalonychidae
Source: the annotation of a RefSeq genome assembly
UAACUGGAAGCUCUCCUCAGCCAGGGGAUAAGAGAGGCCUGGGGGAACCAGCCCAUCCUAGAGGCCUGAGAGAGCAGAUCUGGGGGCACCUCCACCAUGGCCUGGACCCCUCUCCUCCUCACCCUCCUGGCUCACUGCACAGGCUCUGUGGCCUCCUUUGAGCUGACCCAGCCACACUCAGUGUCAGUGGCCCUGGGACAGACAACCAGGCUCACCUGCUCUGGAGGAAAAUUUGAGAACAGUUAUGCUCACUGGUACCAGCAGAAGCCAGAUCAGGCCCCUAAGCUGAUCAUCUAUGAGGAUAGCAAACGGCCCUCGGGGAUCCCUGACCGAUUCUCUGCCUCCAGCUCUGGAAACACAGCCACCCUGACCAUCAGUGGGGUCCAGGCUGAGGAUGAGGCUGACUAUUACUGUCAGUCAUGGGAUAGUGACAGUGAUGCUGCUCACAGUGACACAGGCAGAGGGGGAAGCUCCUUAGAGCAUGUGCCCAGGGUGGGCUUCUGGCUGCAGGACCAGUUCAUUGAGAAAACAGACUCUCCCCAUGGGGUAGAUGUGGCUCACCCCCACUCACUUCUGCAUCUCCACCUGGACAAGGACACCCUGUGCCUGCAGCAGCCAGAGCAGAGCAGCCACCAGGGGGCAGCAGAGAGUGACCUGGCAAAGCCCCUGGAGUUGGGGGUCCCUGGACAUCAGGGGGAUUCUCACAUGCAGGGAAGGUCAGUGAUACUGAACCCAGACCUGAAGGAGCAGGUGUCCUUUCUCUGCAGGAUCAUCCUGGACAAAUUCUGCUUUUGA